AAACUUUCAANAAAGGAUCUCUUGGCUCUCGCAUCGAUGAAGAACNCAUCCAANCGCGNAAUGUAUUUGUGUCUCGCAUCAACAUUGUGAAUCAUCGAAUCUUUGAACGCACAUUGCGCCNCUAGUANCUUGGAGGCAUGCCUGUCUNGAGCGUCAUUU
This 159-nucleotide ribosomal RNA is filed under the name uncultured fungus. RNAcentral's name for it is "5.8S ribosomal RNA". It matches the Rfam family "5.8S ribosomal RNA". Rfam says of the family: 5.8S ribosomal RNA (5.8S rRNA) is a component of the large subunit of the eukaryotic ribosome. It is transcribed by RNA polymerase I as part of the 45S precursor that also contains 18S and 28S rRNA. Functionally, it is thought that 5.8S rRNA may be involved in ribosome translocation. The record is from RNAcentral. Lineage: Eukaryota; Fungi.